Molecule: ribosomal RNA, 403 nt
Filed under: uncultured bacterium
Lineage: Bacteria
Description: partial 16S ribosomal RNA
Rfam family: Bacterial small subunit ribosomal RNA
Source: RNAcentral
GACGAACGCUGGCGGCGUGCCUAAUACAUGCAAGUCGAACGCAGUGGGGACGGGUGAGUAACACGUGGGUAACCUCCCAUCAGAGGGGAUAACACUUGGAAACAGGUGCUAAACCGAUACUGAUGGAUGGACCCGCGGUGCAUUAGCUAGUUGGUGGGGUAACGGCCCACCAAGGCCACGAUGCAUAGCCGACCUGAAGUGGUGAUAGGCCACACUGGGACUGAGACAGGGCCCAGACUCCUAUGGGGAGCAGCAGUAGGGAAACUACGGCAAUGGACGAAAGUCUGACCGAGCAACGCCGCGUGAGUGAAGAAGGUUUUCGGAUCGUAAAACUCUGUUGUUAGAGAAGCGGUAGCUAACCAGAAAGCCACGUCUAACUACGUGCCAGCAGCCGCGGUAAUUC